UACGUAGGUGGCAAGCGUUGUUCGGAAUUAUUGGGCGUAAAGGGCGCGUAGGCGGUUUGUUAAGUCAGCUGUGAAAGCCCGGGGCUCAACCCCGGAGAGUCGACUGAUACUGGCAGACUAGAGUACGGAAGAGGUAGCUGGAAUUCCCGGUGUAGCGGUGAAAUUCGUAGAUAUCGGGAGGAACACCAGUGGCGAAGGCGGCGACCUGGACGGACACUGACGCUGAGACGCGAAAGCGUGGGGAGCAAACAGG
This 253-nucleotide ribosomal RNA is filed under the name uncultured prokaryote. RNAcentral's name for it is "partial 16S ribosomal RNA". It matches the Rfam family "Bacterial small subunit ribosomal RNA", at positions 524 to 776 of the family's 1533-position model. The record is from RNAcentral.